AUCGCUUCUUGGCCUUUUAGCUAAGAUCAAGUGUAGUAUCUAGCACACACAAGGCCUGGCUUUGACCUCUAACACUGGAAAAAAUUUUGUUGUAAGUUUAUUAAACAAGAAAUACUAAGCAAUAAAAAUUCUCAAGAGCUCUUCGAUCUGCUCACCUAUGU
RNAcentral lists this small nuclear RNA (161 nucleotides) under Cavia porcellus (domestic guinea pig). RNAcentral's name for it is "U2 spliceosomal RNA". It matches the Rfam family "U2 spliceosomal RNA". From Rfam's summary of the family: U2 is a small nuclear RNA (snRNA) component of the spliceosome (involved in pre-mRNA splicing). Complementary binding between U2 snRNA (in an area lying towards the 5' end but 3' to hairpin I) and the branchpoint sequence (BPS) of the intron results the bulging out of an unpaired adenosine, on the BPS, which initiates a nucleophilic attack at the intronic 5' splice site, thus starting the first of two transesterification reactions that mediate splicing. Lineage: Eukaryota; Metazoa; Chordata; Mammalia; Rodentia; Caviidae. The record is from Rfam by way of RNAcentral.